Molecule: ribosomal RNA, 350 nt
Filed under: uncultured eukaryote
Lineage: Eukaryota
Description: SSU rRNA
Rfam family: Eukaryotic small subunit ribosomal RNA
Source: RNAcentral
CCAGCAGCUGCGGUAAUUCCAGCUGUAAUAGCGUAUUUUAAAGUUGUUGCAGUUAAAACGCUCGUAGUUGGACUUUAGGAUGCGAUGGGUUUGGUCCGCGUUUAGCGAGUACUGACCUGUCCAUCCUCCUUAUGGGAUACUCACCUCUGCGCUUAACUGAGUGGAGGUAGCAGCCGGGCAACCGGUCGGGUUCCCAUUCUUUUACUUUGAAUAAAUCGUAUUUUGAUCAAAGAAGGCCGGAGUGCCAAUGGUCGAUGCAGCAUGGGAUAAUACAAUAAGCGUCUGUCUUGUUGUGUUGGUUUCUUAAAGAUGGACGAAUGAUUAAGAGGGAUAGUUGGGGGUUUUCGUAU